This 252-nucleotide ribosomal RNA is filed under the name uncultured bacterium. Its description in RNAcentral is "partial 16S ribosomal RNA". It matches the Rfam family "Bacterial small subunit ribosomal RNA", at positions 524 to 776 of the family's 1533-position model. The record is from RNAcentral.
UACGUAGGGGGCAAGCGUUGUCCGGAUUUAUUGGGCGUAAAGAGCGUGUAGGCGGCUUGGUAGGUCUUGCGUCAAAACCUGAGGCUCAACCUCAGUUCGCGUGGGAAACCACCUAACUAGAGUCCGGAAGAGGAGAACGGAAUUCCCAGUGUAGCGGUGAAAUGCGUAGAUAUCGGAAGGAACACCAGUGGCGAAAGCGGCUUCCUGGUCCAGCACCGACGUUCAGGCACGAAAGCGUGGGGAGCAAACAGG